UACGGAGGGUGCAAGCGUUAUCCGGAUUCACUGGGUUUAAAGGGUGCGUAGGUGGGUUGGUAAGUCAGUGGUGAAAUCUCCGAGCUUAACUUGGAAACUGCCAUUGAUACUAUCAGUCUUGAAUACCGUGGAGGUCAGUGGAAUAUGUCAUGUAGCGGUGAAAUGCUUAGAUAUGACAUAGAACACCCAUUGCGAAGGCAGCUGACUACGCGGAGAUUGACACUGAGGCACGAAAGCGUGGGGAUCAAACAGG
This 253-nucleotide ribosomal RNA is filed under the name uncultured bacterium. RNAcentral's name for it is "partial 16S ribosomal RNA". It matches the Rfam family "Bacterial small subunit ribosomal RNA", at positions 524 to 776 of the family's 1533-position model. The record is from RNAcentral.